Molecule: ribosomal RNA, 1602 nt
Filed under: Brachylinga sp. MEI090244
Lineage: Eukaryota; Metazoa; Arthropoda; Insecta; Diptera; Therevidae
Description: eukaryotic LSU rRNA
Rfam family: Eukaryotic large subunit ribosomal RNA
Source: RNAcentral
UAAUCUAAUCUGGUAAAGCGAAUGAUUAGAGGCAUUAGGGCCGAAACGACCUUAACCUAUUCUCAAACUUUAAUUGGGUAAGACCCUCACCUUUCUUGAUAUGAAGGUUGAGGUUAUGAUAUAUUGUGCCCAGUGGGCCACUUUGGGUAAGCAGAACUGGCGCUGUGGGAUGAACCAAACGUGAUGUUACGGUGCCCAAAUUGACAACUCAUACUGAUACCAUGAAAGGCGUUGCUUGCUUAAAACAGCAGGACGGUGGACAUGGAAGUCGUAAUCCGCUAAGGAGUGUGUAACAACUCACCUGCCGAAGCAACUAGCCCUUAAAAUGGAUGGCGCUCAAGUUGUUUACCUAUACAUCACCGCUAAAGCAUAUGAUUUAUAAAUUUAUUAAUUUAUAAUAAAUUUUGGAGCUUUAGUGAGUAGGAGGGUCCAAUGGUGUGCAUAGAAGUGUUUGGCGUAAGCCUGCAUGGAGCCGCCAUUGGCACAGAUCUUGGUGGUAGUAGCAAAUAAUCGAAUGAGACCUUGGAGGACUGAAGUGGAGAAGGGUUUCGUGUGAACAGUGGUUGAUCACGAGUUAGUCGGUCCUAAGUUCAAGGCGAAAGCCGAAAUAUUUUAAGUUUUGAAGAUUUUCUUUUGAAAUAAUAUAUACUUAAAUAUAUUUUGAACGAAAGGGAAUACGGUUCCAAUUCCGUAACCUGUUGAGUAUACGUUUGUUAUUAAAUAUGGGCUUUCACGCUCAUCCUGGUAACAGAAACAACCAUAAAGAAGCCGUCGAGAGAUAUCGAAAGAGUUUUCUUUUCUGUUUUAUAGUCGUACUACCAUGGAAGUCUUUCGAAGAGAGAUAUGGUAGAUGGGCUAGAAGAGCAUGGCAUUUACUGCUGUGUCGAUAUUUUCUCCUCGGACCUUGAAAAUUUAUGGUGGGGUCACGCAAACUUCUUAACAGGCCGUACCGAUAUCCGCAGCUGGUCUCCAAGGUGAAGAGUCUCUAGUCGAUAGAAUAAUGUAGGUAAGGGAAGUCGCCAAAUUAGAUCCGUAACUUCGGGAUAAGGAUUGGCUCUGAAGAUUGAGAUAGUCGGGCUUGAUUGGGAAACAAUAAAAUGGUUUAUGUACUCGUUCUGGGUAAAUAGGAAUUGUUCCUUUUUUUUUAUAAAAAUUGUAUUUAUCUGUUCCCCGGAUAGCAGGCUACGUAACCAAUUGUGGAACUUUCUUGCUAAUAAUUUAUUAAGGUUUUUUUUUUCAUAAGAAGAAUUUUUUUAUAAAUUUAUAACGGCUAUCAAUUAACAAUCAAUUCAGAACUGGCACGGACUUGGGGAAUCCGACUGUCUAAUUAAAACAAAGCAUUGUGAUGGCCCUAACGGGUGUUGACACAAUGUGAUUUCUGCCCAGUGCUCUGAAUGUCAAAGUGAAGAAAUUCAAGUAAGCGCGGGUAAACGGCGGGAGUAACUAUGACUCUCUUAAGGUAGCCAAAUGCCUCGUCAUCUAAUUAGUGACGCGCAUGAAUGGAUUAACGAGAUUCCUACUGUCCCUAUCUACUAUCCAGCGAAACCNNNNNNNNNNNAACGGGCUUGGAAUAAUUAGCGGGGAAAGAAGACCCUGUUGAGC